This 319-nucleotide ribosomal RNA is filed under the name uncultured eukaryote. RNAcentral describes it as "partial 18S ribosomal RNA". It matches the Rfam family "Eukaryotic small subunit ribosomal RNA", at positions 1470 to 1796 of the family's 1831-position model. The record is from RNAcentral.
CCCUUAGAUGGUCUGGGCGGCACGCGCGCUACAAUGAUGCAUUCAAAAAGUCUUCUGACCUUAGAAGGUUGGGUAUUCUCCAAAGUGCAUCGUGAUGGGAAUAGUUUAUUGCAAUUUUUAAUCUUGAACGAGGAAUUCCUAGUAAGUACAGGUCAUCAACUUGUGUUGAUUACGUCCCUGCCCUUUGUACACACCGCCCGUCGCUCCUACUGAUUGAGUGUCUCGGUGAAUUCUUUGAUCUUCUGUCGAUUCAGUUCACUGAUCCGACGGUGGAAAGUUGAAUGAACUUCGUCACUGAGAGGAAGGAGAAGUCGUAACA